GCGAAUGACUUCACAUUGAAACGAAUUGGAAAUGUAUCCAUUGCGAUCCAGACACUUAAUUGGCACCCGAAAAGUAUAGUUGCAUUGCAUCAAUUAUCGUGUCCAGUGUCUUGUUACAAGAUGGCAAUCGGCAACGCUCGAUGCCAUCGGAACCGGUGGGCAGGCGCUGCUAAUGAAGAUUGCGACUGAGCAUCGUAAUUGCGUUGAGCUAGCAAUGCGGCCGCAUCGUUACUGCAAACAAUGUCUAGGGCAGGCCGGGUCAACUCUCGAACAAAGUUUGGUUAUACCUACGGGGGCUAGACCUGUGGUGUCAUCAUCCAUACGGUUCUACCGUCUGGUAGUUGUAGCAAUAUUAUUAUCGUUAGUAGCUCACGCCUGACAUAAUAUUUUGAUAAAUCUAAUACAUUUUUAGAUUUAAAUAUGACUUUAAUAACUGAAUAAAUACUUUUCUUCUACAAAAAUAUAGAGAGACACUCUCGUUGAAUAUUGUUUUAGUAACGCAUAUGUAAGAUUUUCUAAACGAAGUGUGGCAACCCCAAUUACUUAAUAAAAAAUAAAAAUGUUAUAAAAUGAAAAUGGCGUCAUUUCACCAAAUAUUUUAAAACACAAAUUCACGAACAAUAAAAUAAAUGUUUGCCACGGCUUGUUAAUAUUUAUGAAGAUCUCUUCAUGGAUUGGAUUGAAGCAACCUGCUGUGUAAUAUCCUUGCCAUUCUUGAUGUUGAGAAGAUCUAUAAGUCUUUUACGUUUCAUCUGAGUGUUGUGGUUUUUCAUUAUGUUUUAAGACUUUGUUAGUUCAAGUGUCUCUAUAACUAUGAAGAAGAACAAAAGAAAAUGCUUUGAGUGUGUUUCUUCGCCUGCCGAUGAUCCAGAGAAGACCCUACAGAGAUUACCGAAAUUUGAUUCUACAAAUUUAGUCUCCGGUAGCUUAAUCUGGAGCAACAUAAGGUUAAUUAUGAAAUGGUAAUGAAAAUAAACAUCUGAGAAAAGCAAAUUCCAUGAACUAAUUUGAAAGUAUCUGUUACCAGAAGUAAAUUUUUUACUAUACCACUGUUCAAUAUUAAACCACAGGUAUAUGUACUAAAGGCAGUAAUGUCCAGAUAAUCAAUGAUUAGACUAUUGGACUUUUAGAAUAAAUUUUACAUUGAACUAUGAAUGGUUUGUCAUCUACAUUUUUAAAAAAGACGAGAUGUUUUGCCUGUAAGAAGAAGAGAGAGAGAGAAUAAGAACAAUCCUGCUUCUUCACAUGAAUUUUACCCGCAUGACGACGGUUUUUAAUAUAAAAAAUAUUUACACAAUGUCUCAAAAAGCAAUCAAAGCUUUGAAAAAUAAACAAUGUUCGCAGAAGUUCAGUACCAACAAACUCACAAAAAAUGAGCCCAAAUUUAGCAUUACUUGCAAGCCAGACUAAGAAAUUUCAAGAAGAUAAUUUAAAAGAAGACAAUAGAAUAAAAUAAUAUUAACACACAAUGCUUAGCAAAUAUAGCAUUAACAGAUGGAAACCAGGCAAUAGGUGUAGCAAAAUAGAAGAUGAAGGUCUAGCUGUGCCAGUGCUGAGCCACACAGUUGCUACUGGCAUGUUUGCAAAAUAGCACAAGGUGUAGCAAAAUAGAAGAUGAAGGUCUAGCUGUGCCAGUCAGUGCUGAGCCACACAGUUGCUGCUGGCAUGUUUGCAAAAUAGCACAAGGUGUAGCAAAAUAGAAGAUGAAGGUCUAGCUGUGCCAGUGCUGAGCCACACAGUUGCUACUGGCAUGUUUGCAAAAUAGCACAAGGUGUAGCAAAAUAGAAGAUGAAGGUCUAGCUGUGCCAGUGCUGAGCCACGCAGUUGCUACUGGCAUGUUUGCAAAAUAGCACAAGGUGUAGCAAAAUAGAAGAUGAAGGUCUAGCUGUGCCAGUGCUGAGCCACACAGUUGCUACUGGCAUGUUUGCAAAAUAGCACAAGGUGCUGUAAAAUGAAGAUAUAUUGUUAAAUAUCAUGAGAUAGAAAUAAAAGAUGAAGAUCUAGCUGUACCCAUCCCGAGCCACACUACUGCAGCCACGUUGCUGCUGGCAAUUUUGCAAAAUAGCACAAGGUCACAACAAUUGAUGUAACAAAUAUAAUCAAUGGACCAGGCACCUGCACCAUGAUUCUUUGGAAUACUAAAAUUCGUCUCUUUAUGUCUGUACAUAAUUCUCAUAAUGAAAAAUGUCACGUUUUUAUGAAAGAAAUAAUGGAAUCAAAUAAUAAAUAAAACAAGCAUAUGCUGGAAGUCCUCAGAAACAGCUCCGACUUUGAUGAUUUUUUUUAAAGUCAUGUUUUUUGUUAUUUAAAAUCAGAAAUGUUUUGGUGGACGAAAUUAUUUAAAUUGUUAAAAAAUAUCUAUGCUAUUUGUACAUAUAUAUUUUUUUUUUUUAAAUACAACCGACUUCAAAAAUACAAACUUAUGCAGAAAACUAACAAACGAAAGAAAAUAUUAUAAUAUUUUAUAUCUAUUGAUCACUUUGAAGGCGGUGCCAAUGGUCCAAUUAAUGGGCCGACAAUUAGUUAUCUAUUGUUUACUAGCUAUAGGGUUCGAAUUGCUUUUUCAUAUGUUUAAAAGACUAUCUUCGGAAUGAACCCUUUAUAAUAAAAAAGUAUUAUCAAAAUCGGACCGGUCCGACCUAUUUAACCAUUUAUAUAUUCAUUAUAUUUAACCAUUAAUUUUAGUAUACAACCGAUCGGUUGUAUACUAAACUUAAUGGUUAAACAAUCAAUCAUCCCCUGUUUUCGUAAUGUAAAACCAAGCAUAACUGUUAACAUGAGUAGUCCGAUUUUGAUAAUUCUUGAUUAUUUUAGUUUAAAACCAAGGAUGUCUUCGAAUUCCGAUUUGAAUAACUUUGUUUUAAAUAGAAAGGGUAUAUUCCGACAAUGGUCCCAAAUCAUUAUAAAUUUUAAAAAAACGAAGAUGACUGGUUAUUUUCCCAUUAAUUGUAUUGUAAAACUAUGCGUAACUUAUUACGAAGUGGUCCGAUUUCGUAAAUUCUUUAUAGAUUGUAAAGCUCCCAUAUAAAUUUUAAAAAACAAUUCCAAUCCUAAAUGUGCGAUGAUUGAUUGUUUUCUCAUUCAUUUUAAUGUAAAACCAAGCAUAACUUUUUAUUGGGUGGUUCGAUUUUGAUUAUUCUUUUUUUGAUAGAAAGGGUAUAUUCCUAAAAGUCUCAUAAAAUGUUGGAAAACAAUUUCAAACCUAAUAGUAGGAAAAUAGAAGAUGAUUAAUUGUUUUCCCAUUAAUUGUAAUUAAACUAUGCGUAACUUUUUACUGAGUGGGCCGAUUUUGAAAAUUCUUUACUUUUUGUAAAGGGUUUAUUUCGAAGUAGGUCCCAUAUAAAUUUCGGAAAACAAUUCGAAUCCUUAAGGUGGAAAAAACGGUACGAUUGAUUGCCUACCCAUUAAUUGUACAAUUGGCACCGGCUUCAAAGUAAUCAAUAGAUAGAAAAUAUUAUAAUGUUUUCUUCAGCUUAUUAGUUUACUGCAUAACUUUGUGUUUUUGAAGUCGGUAGUGUUUAUUUUUUAAUUAUUUAUUAUAUAAAUAGCAUAACUAUUGUUAAAUAGUAUAAAUCGUUCCCUCCUCACUCCAAAAGGUUUCUGAUUUCAAAUAAUAUGAAGAAACAAACUGAACAAAAAAAAUCAUCAAAAUCAGAGCUGUUUCUGAGGAGGUAGAAGGUAAAUGCUCUAUUGAUUCGCCUAAAAGUAAUAUUAUGUUAUCGCAUUAGGUUGUAAAGUUUGGCUAAUGAAAGUAGAGACUGAAAUUGCCCGCCAAAUUUAAAAAUCACAUGCGUUUUCAUAAUUUAUUUAAAUUAGUUUUUCUUUGUGAAUACAUUAUUACCUAUACUAUAAGUGUUAAACUCAGUUAUUCCAAUAUUUGCACUAUAAUUUUGAGAAUUUACUCCAAUUUUUUAAAAUUUGGCGGGUGAUUUCAGUUUCUACUUUCAUUAUAGCCAAAUUCUAAUAAUUUUAUUGUUUAUGAAAUUUAUACUAAUUAGAAAGAGGAAGAAUUUGAUUAUUUGUUUGUUCGCAUUGAAUAGGCUCUGAAACUACUUUGCUGAUUUAAAAAUUUCUUACAGCAUUAUAAUCAUGGAUUAGGCCAUAAUUGUUAUCUCUGUAUUCCCUCGGGAACGAGAACUACGCUGAUGAAACUGCGUGACGUUUGCAUAGUUUAUCAUAUGUACAAAUAUCCCGACAAUCUAUAUUUUUAUGUAUGAAUUGGUUAAGUUAUAAUUGACUUGAUUUUCCCAAAUAUCUCAGUGAAGUCAAAUACCCAAUUGAUGCAUAGAUAUAUUUUUAUUUUGGUUUUCAUUUUACUUUAAAGAUAAAAUUUAGUUUUAGAAGCAAAAUGAAUAUACGUAGAUUAUAUUUAAGGUGCUGAUGUUUACUUAGUAAUUGAUUAAGUGCAUAACAUAUUUAUUUGAUAAUAAAGACAUUUCAACUUGAAACUGUUAUUCUUUCUAUUGUUUAAUUUAUUAUAUACAAUUACUUGUUACUAAAAUAUUGUGCUAUUAUAUUGUUUUUAAUAUUUUCACAGUUCAGCUUUUGGGGACGGAGUGGUUUUAAAAUAAAUAUUUUUAAAAAUCUGUU
Long non-coding RNA from Bicyclus anynana (squinting bush brown), 4590 nucleotides. RefSeq lists it as uncharacterized. Lineage: Eukaryota; Metazoa; Arthropoda; Insecta; Lepidoptera; Nymphalidae. The transcript has 11 exons. The record is from RefSeq and is a predicted model, not a curated record.